UCCUUUGUGGCUCAGAUGGUAAAGAAUCUGCCUGCAAUGCAGGAGACCCAGGUUCGAUCCCUGGGUCAGGAA
This 72-nucleotide transfer RNA is filed under the name Ovis aries (sheep). It matches the Rfam family "tRNA". Rfam says of the family: Transfer RNA (tRNA) molecules are approximately 80 nucleotides in length. Their secondary structure includes four short double-helical elements and three loops (D, anti-codon, and T loops). Further hydrogen bonds mediate the characteristic L-shaped molecular structure. tRNAs have two regions of fundamental functional importance: the anti-codon, which is responsible for specific mRNA codon recognition, and the 3' end, to which the tRNAs corresponding amino acid is attached (by aminoacyl-tRNA synthetases). tRNAs cope with the degeneracy of the genetic code in two manners: having more than one tRNA (with a specific anti-codon) for a particular amino acid; and 'wobble' base-pairing, i.e. permitting non-standard base-pairing at the 3rd anti-codon position. The record is from Rfam by way of RNAcentral. Lineage: Eukaryota; Metazoa; Chordata; Mammalia; Artiodactyla; Bovidae.